UUCUUUUGUUUUUUUAGAAGAAACUGGUUUAAACCGUCCCCACUAAAUUAAUAGGCAAACGGGCUUUACAUGAAGAAGGGUGCGACUACGGAGAACACUGAUAUAAGUGGAACAGAAGAAGGUUUGGGAGUUUGAAGUUAAACUCAACUCAACUGUUCACCUUUCUUCUUAUCUUUCAUUCCCUCUUAUGGCCGCCGAGAACAAACCGAAGUCCGAUUUCAACAACACCUCCAAGUUCAAGAAGGGAAGGCAACGCUAUCUUCCUCAUAACAAGCCGGUGAAGAAGAAGGGUUCCUACCCACUACGGCCGGGAGUCCAAGGCUUCUUCAUUACCUGUGAUGGUGGCAGGGAACGCCAAGCCUCUCAUGAGGCCAUUGACGUUAUUGACUCGUUUUUUGAGGAACUAGUCCUCGGGAAGGAUUCUGGCAUGCAGGUUGGAGGGUUACAGGGUAAAUCUACAAAUAAGAAAAUUAAGUUUACAUAUUCUGAUUCUUCUAGUGGUGAAACUGACGAUGAUGAGGACGAGGAAAAGGAGGAGAAGAAGAAAGAGAUUAAAUCUGCUACUUCUACUGAGGGUGACAAAAGCAAUGAUAAGGAAACAAGUGAGAUACUAGAUCAUAAUAAAACUGAUGCUGAGUCCCCUGAAAUUGUUAAAGGGGCAAAACCUAAUAACAAUAAGGAGGUUGAUGAAAGCCAUGUAAAUGAGGCUGAAGUUCCACCGGCAAAGAAACAGUGUCUGGGAACAGAAGUCUCAAAAUGUGUGAUCCCUGACAAAGUGGAAGUCAAGUCCAUGGACAAGCUAAUUGAAGCUGAGCUCAAAGAACUUGGAGACAAAAGUAAGAGGCGUUUUUUUCAUCUUGAUACUGGAUGUAAUGGUGUCGUUUUUGUGCAAAUGCGGAAGAGAGAAGGGGAUCCUGGCCCCAAAGAUAUUGUGCAGAACAUUAUGACUACCGCAGCUGCAGCAAGAAAACACAUGUCCAGGUUUAUCUUGAGAAUUUUACCUGUUGAAUUAGCAUGCUAUGCUUCAGAAGAGGAGAUUUCCAGAGCUAUAGUUCCUAUUGUGGAAAAGUAUUUUCCUGUGGAAACUCAGACUCCACAAAAGGCCUGGUCUCAGUUCGAAGAUGGUUCUAAAUUACUAAUUCUUCCAAAAAGAUCAAUUUGCAGUGCUGUAUGGUGCCCGUGCAAAUACUGGAGUUGACAGGAUGAAAAUAAUCGAUGCAGUUGCGAAAUCAGUUCCAAAACCACACAAGGUUGAUCUUAACAAUCCUGAUAAGGCCUUUGUAGUUGAAAUUGUUAAGACUGUAUGCUUGAUCGGGGUUAUUGAGAAGUACAAGGAGUUGGCCAAGUAUAACUUAAGGCAGCUCACAUCAUCAAAGCCUUAUCCUUAGCCUUGGGGUAUUGAACUCAAACUAAAGUAUAUCGCGUGGACUCAUCUAUAUCAACCGUAGACUUUGAGCAUUUUGGCUCAAUAAUUUACUGUCAUGUUUAUUUCCAUCAUAAAAACGUUGAUGUUCCAAAUAAACCAAUGCUAAUCUAAGUUUAUGAUGUUGACAGGGAUAUUUUUUUCA
Molecule: RNA transcript, 1568 nt
Organism: Humulus lupulus (European hop)
Lineage: Eukaryota; Viridiplantae; Streptophyta; Magnoliopsida; Rosales; Cannabaceae
Exons: 8
Source: RefSeq, a predicted model, not a curated record